Molecule: ribosomal RNA, 465 nt
Filed under: Vreelandella stevensii
Lineage: Bacteria; Pseudomonadati; Pseudomonadota; Gammaproteobacteria; Oceanospirillales; Halomonadaceae
Description: partial 16S ribosomal RNA
Rfam family: Bacterial small subunit ribosomal RNA
Source: RNAcentral
CCUACGGGUGGCAGCAGUGGGGAAUAUUGGACAAUGGGCGAAAGCCUGAUCCAGCCAUGCCGCGUGUGUGAAGAAGGCCUUCGGGUUGUAAAGCACUUUCAGUGGGGAAGAAAGCCUUGGGGCUAAUACCCUCGAGGAAGGACAUCACCCACAGAAGAAGCACCGGCUAACUCCGUGCCAGCAGCCGCGGUAAUACGGAGGGUGCGAGCGUUAAUCGGAAUUACUGGGCGUAAAGCGCGCGUAGGCGGUCUGAUAAGCCGGUUGUGAAAGCCCCGGGCUCAACCUGGGAACGGCAUCCGGAACUGUCAGGCUAGAGUGCAGGAGAGGAAGGUAGAAUUCCCGGUGUAGCGGGGAAAUGCGUAGAGAUCGGGAGGAAUACCAGUGGCGAAGGCGGCCUUCUGGACUGACACUGACGCUGAGGUGCGAAAGCGUGGGUAGCAAACAGGAUUACAUACCCGAGUAGUC